UUGCUCCCCUUCCUGGAAACCAUAUUUUUCUAUUUCAGGUAACAUUAUGGAAACAUAUCCUGAAUUGCUAUGCCCCUCCCUCAUCCAUGGCUUUUCUUUUUCUUCUGUCCAAACAAUUUGAAGUUUCCUUUGACUUAGAACUUUUGGAUUUUGGCUAUAGCAUUCCUGGGAGUUUUAUUUUGGAUUUUCUUUCCGGAGGUGAGUAGUAGAUUCUUUCUAUGUACAUUUUGCCUGUCUAUUUUCAUUGUAUCCUAAGGGAUUGGGG
Molecule: long non-coding RNA, 265 nt
Filed under: Monodelphis domestica (gray short-tailed opossum)
Lineage: Eukaryota; Metazoa; Chordata; Mammalia; Didelphimorphia; Didelphidae
Description: lncRNA (ENSMODG00000045134.1)
Source: RNAcentral